This 587-nucleotide long non-coding RNA is filed under the name Homo sapiens (human). Its description in RNAcentral is "HSALNT0076231". The record is from RNAcentral. Lineage: Eukaryota; Metazoa; Chordata; Mammalia; Primates; Hominidae.
UUGAAAGAUGAAAUCCAUCCAUUAUUCCAGACACUUUAAAAUCUACCCUUGGAUUUGGACAAAUCAGAAGACAGCUGCAUACCUGGAUGGUAGCUCACAGGCAAAUAUACAGAAAUGUAUAAAGAAACUGACUUCAGUAAAGAUAAGUGAGUAGCCGAAAAUCCCACUUAAAGAGGCAAAACCAUAUUGGAACCAAUGUUACAAUGAAUCCUAGUAGGCUUCUACAACAUGCUUGGUCACUUCAACACCAGGAUCCUGCAGCACUCGCAGCUUCUUCAGUGCCUAGCUCCUGUGGUGUAGAGUGCCUAAGGUAAAGACAUCUUAUGAUCAGCUUUCCUCAGCACCCCAGAGGGAGAAUUUCCUGCAAGUUCUGCCGGCAUGGCACCGCAAGACUUCUCUGUCACCCAGUGAGCAUGACUGUGCUCACAGGUCUGAACUGCAGCUCUGAGAGGCAAACCAGGAGGACCUUUCUUGGAUGUUCCAUCUCAGCUAGAGGAAAAGCCCUAAGAGAUCCUAGCCUGGAGAAUCAUGGAGCCAUGUCGUUAGGAGUUUGAGAUCAUUAUCACAGGACUCAUAUGCAAAAUGGA